CGUAAUUUGUAGAGGAUGCUUCGGGCAAGGCCGUGGUCUAAUUCGCUUGGAACAGCGAGUCACAGAGGGUGAGAAUCCCGUCUAGGAUCGUACGCCGCGUCCAUGUGAAGCUCCUUCGACGAGUCGAGUUGUUUGGGAAUGCAGCUCUAAGCGGGUGGUAAAUUUCAUCUAAAGCUAAAUAUUGGCCAGAGACCGAUAGCGCACAAGUAGAGUGAUCGAAAGAUGAAAAGCACUUUGAAAAGAGAGUUAAACAGUAUGUGAAAUUGUUGAAAGGGAAGCGCUUGCAAUCAGACUUGUGUCUGACGGUUCCCCUGGCCCUCGUGGCCGGGCUACUCCGUCAUGUCCAGGCCAACAUCGGUUUGGGUGGUCGGUCAAAGACCCCGAGAAUGUAUCUACCUUCGGGUCGACUUAUAGCCCGGGGUGGAAUGCGGCCCACCCGGACCGAGGAACGCGCUUCGGCUCGGAUGUUGGCGUAAUGGUUGCAAGCGGCCCGUCUUGAAACACGGACCAAGGAGUCUAACAUCUAUGCGAGUGUCUGGGCGUCAAACCCCUACGCGUAAUGAAAGUGAACGGAGGUAAGAACCCCGCAAGGGGCGCAUUAUCGACCGAUCCUGAUGUCUUCGGAUGGAUUUGAGUAAGAGCAUAGCUGUUGGGACCCGAAAGAUGGUGAACUAUGCCUG
Molecule: ribosomal RNA, 680 nt
Filed under: Verrucaria funckii
Lineage: Eukaryota; Fungi; Ascomycota; Eurotiomycetes; Verrucariales; Verrucariaceae
Description: eukaryotic LSU rRNA
Rfam family: Eukaryotic large subunit ribosomal RNA
Source: RNAcentral